RNAcentral lists this ribosomal RNA (1418 nucleotides) under Lactiplantibacillus plantarum. RNAcentral's name for it is "bacterial SSU rRNA". It matches the Rfam family "Bacterial small subunit ribosomal RNA". Lineage: Bacteria; Bacillati; Bacillota; Bacilli; Lactobacillales; Lactobacillaceae. The record is from RNAcentral.
GAACUCUGGUAUUGAUUGGUGCUUGCAUCAUGAUUUACAUUUGAGUGAGUGGCGAACUGGUGAGUAACACGUGGGAAACCUGCCCAGAAGCGGGGGAUAACACCUGGAAACAGAUGCUAAUACCGCAUAACAACUUGGACCGCAUGGUCCGAGCUUGAAAGAUGGCUUCGGCUAUCACUUUUGGAUGGUCCCGCGGCGUAUUAGCUAGAUGGUGGGGUAACGGCUCACCAUGGCAAUGAUACGUAGCCGACCUGAGAGGGUAAUCGGCCACAUUGGGACUGAGACACGGCCCAAACUCCUACGGGAGGCAGCAGUAGGGAAUCUUCCACAAUGGACGAAAGUCUGAUGGAGCAACGCCGCGUGAGUGAAGAAGGGUUUCGGCUCGUAAAACUCUGUUGUUAAAGAAGAACAUAUCUGAGAGUAACUGUUCAGGUAUUGACGGUAUUUAACCAGAAAGCCACGGCUAACUACGUGCCAGCAGCCGCGGUAAUACGUAGGUGGCAAGCGUUGUCCGGAUUUAUUGGGCGUAAAGCGAGCGCAGGCGGUUUUUUAAGUCUGAUGUGAAAGCCUUCGGCUCAACCGAAGAAGUGCAUCGGAAACUGGGAAACUUGAGUGCAGAAGAGGACAGUGGAACUCCAUGUGUAGCGGUGAAAUGCGUAGAUAUAUGGAAGAACACCAGUGGCGAAGGCGGCUGUCUGGUCUGUAACUGACGCUGAGGCUCGAAAGUAUGGGUAGCAAACAGGAUUAGAUACCCUGGUAGUCCAUACCGUAAACGAUGAAUGCUAAGUGUUGGAGGGUUUCCGCCCUUCAGUGCUGCAGCUAACGCAUUAAGCAUUCCGCCUGGGGAGUACGGCCGCAAGGCUGAAACUCAAAGGAAUUGACGGGGGCCCGCACAAGCGGUGGAGCAUGUGGUUUAAUUCGAAGCUACGCGAAGAACCUUACCAGGUCUUGACAUACUAUGCAAAUCUAAGAGAUUAGACGUUCCCUUCGGGGACAUGGAUACAGGUGGUGCAUGGUUGUCGUCAGCUCGUGUCGUGAGAUGUUGGGUUAAGUCCCGCAACGAGCGCAACCCUUAUUAUCAGUUGCCAGCAUUAAGUUGGGCACUCUGGUGAGACUGCCGGUGACAAACCGGAGGAAGGUGGGGAUGACGUCAAAUCAUCAUGCCCCUUAUGACCUGGGCUACACACGUGCUACAAUGGAUGGUACAACGAGUUGCGAACUCGCGAGAGUAAGCUAAUCUCUUAAAGCCAUUCUCAGUUCGGAUUGUAGGCUGCAACUCGCCUACAUGAAGUCGGAAUCGCUAGUAAUCGCGGAUCAGCAUGCCGCGGUGAAUACGUUCCCGGGCCUUGUACACACCGCCCGUCACACCAUGAGAGUUUGUAACACCCAAAGUCGGUGGGGUAACCUUUUAGGAACCA